Molecule: ribosomal RNA, 468 nt
Filed under: uncultured bacterium
Lineage: Bacteria
Description: partial 16S ribosomal RNA
Rfam family: Bacterial small subunit ribosomal RNA
Source: RNAcentral
GAUGAACGCUGGCGGCGUGCUUAACACAUGCAAGUCGAACGGUGAAGGCGGAGCUUGCUCUGCUGGAUCAGUGGCGAACGGGUGAGUAACACGUGAGCAAUCUGCCCCUGACUCUGGGAUAAGCGCUGGAAACGGCGUCUAAUACUGGAUACGAGCUGCGAAGGCAUCUUCAGCAGCUGGAAAGAAUUUCGGUCAGGGAUGAGCUCGCGGCCUGUCAGCUUGUUGGUGAGGUAAUGGCUCACCAAGGCGUCGACGGGUAGCCGGCCUGAGGGGGUGACCGGCCACACUGGGACUGAGACACGGCCCAGACUCCUACGGGAGGCAGCAGUGGGGAAUAUUGCACAAUGGGCGGAAGCCUGAUGCAGCAACGCCGCGUGAGGGACGACGGCCUUCGGGUUGUAAACCUCUUUUAGCAGGGAAGAAGCGAAAGUGACGGUACCUGCAGAAAAAGCGCCGGCUAACUACGUG